Molecule: long non-coding RNA, 1034 nt
Organism: Oncorhynchus masou masou (cherry salmon)
Lineage: Eukaryota; Metazoa; Chordata; Actinopteri; Salmoniformes; Salmonidae
Exons: 2
Source: RefSeq, a predicted model, not a curated record
AUUCUUGCAACAUUACUGCAGCCUGUCGUGUUGUUGAUACAUUGUAGCAGUUUGGUUGCGGUCUCUACUUUUGCAACAGUGUAUGAAGAACCAACGUUGGCGCGAUGUUUAUACACUUUCAAUCAAAGACAACGUUUAUGUUUUUUUCAUAAUCAUUCAAUAUAAUCAUGUAGGGCAGGUGAUAUUAAUUUCCCAUAGUGGUUUUGAUCAGUCUGUCUUAGUUCUGGGGACCAACAACAGACCUGUUAAACAUGCACGCAUUUUGCGUACCAACUACGCAGUUCUCUGUCCAUGUACGCAGAUUGUAGACAUCAUGUGGAUGGGAAAUGGCAUCAGAAGCUACUGGCAGCUACAGCAUCAACCCCAGUUAUAGCAACCUUUUCCCACCAAGUCAGGGAUUUGACUUAUUUAAUUUUUAUUUAACUAGGCAAGCCAGUUAAGAACACAUUCUUAUUUACAACGAUGGCCUAGGAACAGUGGGUUAACUGCCUUGUUCCCCCCGAGACUCCACCGGGCUCCCCCGAGCCUCCACCGGGCUCCCUUGAGCCCGGAUCCCUCACCUGGCUCCCCCGAGCCCCCACCGGGCUCCCCCGAGCCCGGAUCCCUCACAUGGCUCCCCCGAGCCUCUGGAAGCAAAGUCAUGCCAUCCUCCAUCAAAUGUGGACCUACUGACAAAACCUUCGACCUUUCGGCUGUGAUGCUGGAGAUAUUGGUCAUAUUCCACAGCAAUGCAGACUGUGAAGAAGGUUUCAAUGAUUGCCAGAGGAACUGUUUGUCAUAGAGAAGUCUACCCUGAUGCUUCUCUGCGUAAGGCUAAAUCUGCUAGCUACCAGGCAAAUCUGUCUAGGAAAUGGAAGAUUUGUUCUCACCACUGUUUCCUGUCGUAGCCUUUUCCUUUUUAUUAUGGAUAGCAUGCUGAUUUGAUACUGAUGCUCUGCUCAAACAUUUGUUCUUAUCAUAUCAGAGUUUAAAAAUAAAUAUUGUGGCUUAGACAUUUUGUACCUAAACAAAUAACUUGUUAUUAUUUGUUUUCA